RNAcentral lists this ribosomal RNA (496 nucleotides) under uncultured bacterium. RNAcentral describes it as "partial 16S ribosomal RNA". It matches the Rfam family "Bacterial small subunit ribosomal RNA", at positions 29 to 507 of the family's 1533-position model. The record is from RNAcentral.
AUGAACGCUGGCGGCGUGCCUAAUCCAUGCCCGUCGAGCGAACAGACGAGGAGCUUGCUCCUCUGAUGUUAGCGGCGGACGGGUGAGUAACACGUGGAUAACCUACCUAUAAGACUGGGAUAACUUCGGGAAACCGGAGCUAAUACCGGAUAACAUGUUGAACCGCAUGGUUCAACAGUGAAAGACGGUCUUGCUGUCACUUAUAGAUGGAUCCGCGCCGCAUUAGCUAGUUGGUAAGGUAACGGCUUACCAAGGCAACGAUGCGUAGCCGACCUGAGAGGGUGAUCGGCCACACUGGAACUGAGACACGGUCCAGACUCCUACGGGAGGCAGCAGUAGGGAAUCUUCCGCAAUGGGCGAAAGCCUGACGGAGCAACGCCGCGUGAGUGAAGAAGGUCUUCGGAUCGUAAAACUCUGUUAUUAGGGAAGAACAAAUGUGUAAGUAACUAUGCACGUCUUGACGGUACCUAAUCAGAAAGCCACGGCUAACUACGUG